CUACGGGGCGCUGCAGUGAGGAAUAUUGGACAAUGGAGGAAACUCUGAUCCAGCCAUGCCGCGUGAGUGAAGAAGGCCUUAGGGUUGUAAAGCUCUUUCAACGGUGAAGAUAAUGACGGUAGCCGUAGAAGAAGCCCCGGCUAAAUUCGUGCCAGCAGCCGCGGUAAUACGAAUGGGGCAAGCGUUGUUCGGAAUCACUGGGCUUAAAGCGUAUGUAGGCGGAUCCACAAGUCAGGAGUGAAAUCCCGGGGCUCAACCCCGGAACUGCUCUUGAAACUGUAGAUCUAGAAUCCGGGAGGGGUCAGUAGAAUUCCUAGUGUAGAGGUGAAAUUCGCAGAUAUUAGGAGGAAUACCAGUGGCGAAGGCGACUGACUGGACCGGUAUUGACGCUCAGAUACGAAAGCGUGGGGAGCAAACAGGAUUAGAUACCCGUGUAGUC
RNAcentral lists this ribosomal RNA (439 nucleotides) under uncultured bacterium. RNAcentral describes it as "partial 16S ribosomal RNA". It matches the Rfam family "Bacterial small subunit ribosomal RNA", at positions 339 to 795 of the family's 1533-position model. The record is from RNAcentral.